RNAcentral lists this ribosomal RNA (204 nucleotides) under Aphidius colemani. RNAcentral's name for it is "partial 28S ribosomal RNA". The record is from RNAcentral. Lineage: Eukaryota; Metazoa; Arthropoda; Insecta; Hymenoptera; Braconidae.
UAUACAGGACAGACCUGACUGUGUAGCCAUUAAUUUUUUUUGAUAUAUAUAUUAUUUGUAUGUGAAUGCGAUUUAUUAUUAGUGUGGGUGUAUUUAAUGAUUUUUUACACCUUUAAUUUGAGUCCUCUUUUUAUAAAAUUAUGGAAACACUAAUCCUAACACCUUCAGAGUAGGGGGAAACUCACCCCCCAAAAUUUACAGCAU